GGCGGAAAGCUAGUUGUAUUAUUAGUUAAUGCAAGAUCGACUACGUCGACUAAAGUUCUAGGUAGAAUAAUGAUGAUGACAAUUUUUUACCUAUAUGUCUUGACCAAGUCUCGUGCCAGCAGUCGCGGUAAUACGUGGAAGACUAGUGUUAUUCAUCUUUAUUAGGUUUAAAGGGUACCUAGACGGUAUUUCUAGCCCAAAAUAGGGUACGGAUUUACUAGAGUUUUAUGUGAGGAGGGGAGUACUCGUGGAGUAGAGAUGAAAUUUUGUUAUACUAUGAGGUAACUGGUGGCGGCGAAAGCAACCUUCUAUGUAUAAACUGACGUUGAGGGACGAAGGCUUGGGUAGCAAAUAGGAUUAGAUACCCUAGUAGUCCAAGCAGACAAUUCUGAAUGCCAUAGAUUAGAUUAUUUUUGGUCUAUAAAUGAAAGUGUAAGCAUUCCACCUUAGGAGUAAUGUGGCAACACAGGAACUGAAAUCAUUAGACCGUUUCUGAAACCAGUAGUGAAGUAUGUUAUUUAAUUUGAUGGUCCACAAAAAACCUUACCACAACUUGAAUAUUUUUUAAUUAAUACAAGCGUUGCACGGCUGUCUUCAGUUAAUGUCGUGAGAUUUUGGUUAACUCCAUUAAUUAACGUAAACCCUUACUUUAUUUA
This 656-nucleotide ribosomal RNA is filed under the name Polysporina arenacea. RNAcentral's name for it is "SSU rRNA". It matches the Rfam family "Bacterial small subunit ribosomal RNA", at positions 374 to 1117 of the family's 1533-position model. Lineage: Eukaryota; Fungi; Ascomycota; Lecanoromycetes; Acarosporales; Acarosporaceae. The record is from RNAcentral.